This 496-nucleotide ribosomal RNA is filed under the name uncultured Microbacteriaceae bacterium. Its description in RNAcentral is "partial 16S ribosomal RNA". The record is from RNAcentral. Lineage: Bacteria; Bacillati; Actinomycetota; Actinomycetes; Micrococcales; Microbacteriaceae.
CACGUAGUUAGCCGGUGCUUUUUCUGCAGGUACCGUCACUUUCGCUUCUUCCCUACUAAAAGAGGUUUACAACCCGAAGGCCGUCGUCCCUCACGCGGCGUUGCUGCAUCAGGCUUUCGCCCACUGUGCAAUAUUCCCCACUGCUGCCUCCCGUAGGAGUCUGGGCCGUGUCUCAGUCCCAGUGUGGCCGGUCACCCUCUCAGGCCGGCUACCCGUCGUCGCCUUGGUGAGCCAUUACCUCACCAACAAGCUGAUAGGCCGCGAGUCCAUCCUUGACCAAAAUUCUUUCCACCUACAGACGAUGCCGUCAUAGGUCAUAUCCGGUAUUAGACGUCGUUUCCAACGCUUAUCCCAGAGUCAAGGGCAGGUUACUCACGUGUUACUCACCCGUUCGCCACUAAUCCGGAGGAAGCAAGCUCCCUCGUUCAUCGUUCGACUUGCAUGUGUUAAGCACGCCGCCAGCGUUCGUCCUCGUAGCCACGGAUCAAACCUACUA